This 367-nucleotide long non-coding RNA is filed under the name Ricinus communis (castor bean). RNAcentral's name for it is "long non-coding RNA (RCOM_LNC002609)". Lineage: Eukaryota; Viridiplantae; Streptophyta; Magnoliopsida; Malpighiales; Euphorbiaceae. The record is from RNAcentral.
AUAAUAAUAAUAAUAAUAAUAUAAUAUAUCACUUAUACAGAAGGCAAGGGUGAGGUGCUUACCUCAUGAAGAAGAAUGGGUUUUAGAAGGAGAAGGAGAAGGAGAAGGAGUAGUGAGGUGCAGAGGUAGACUUCCUUUUCUUUCGGGUAAUCAUCUUCUUGGCUCUUAUUUUCUAACUCCAUAUCUCUGAAGAUACAUCACAGUAUCAUUCCAUAUCUCUUAACCUCUUUUCUGUUUUCACUUUCCUAGGCUGCACUUCUCUUUCACUUUCUGUCUUAUUAAUUCUUUAGAAACAGAUACAUAGGUACCCCCCAUAGAGAUCAAUCCCUACCUACGUACCCACAUCUUCUUCCCUCUCUUCUUUUUC